UACGUAGGAGGCGAGCGUUGUCCGGAGUUACUGGGCGUAAAGGGUGCGCAGGCGGCGGUUCGCGUGGCGAGAUGAAAUCUCCUGGCUUACCUGGGAGGGUGGUCGCCAGACGGGAUCGCUUGAGGGUCGGAGAGGGGCGUGGAAUUCCGGGUGGAGCGGUGAAAUGCGUAGAGAUCCGGAGGAACACCGACGGCGUAGGCAGCGCCCUGGACGACACCUGACGCUGAGGCACGAAAGCUGGGGGAGCGAACAGGAUUAGGAUACCCUGGAUACCGACCAAGUUC
This 284-nucleotide ribosomal RNA is filed under the name uncultured bacterium. RNAcentral's name for it is "partial 16S ribosomal RNA". It matches the Rfam family "Bacterial small subunit ribosomal RNA", at positions 524 to 802 of the family's 1533-position model. The record is from RNAcentral.